GGUGAGAUGGCCGAGUUGGUCUAUGGCGCCAGGUUAAGGUUAUACCUUAACAAGUGACAUCCUGGUACGGGAAACCGUGCGUGGGUUCGAAUCCCACUCUCAUCA
Molecule: transfer RNA, 105 nt
Organism: Dactylellina haptotyla CBS 200.50
Lineage: Eukaryota; Fungi; Ascomycota; Orbiliomycetes; Orbiliales; Orbiliaceae
Rfam family: tRNA
About the family: Transfer RNA (tRNA) molecules are approximately 80 nucleotides in length. Their secondary structure includes four short double-helical elements and three loops (D, anti-codon, and T loops).
Source: Rfam